Molecule: ribosomal RNA, 484 nt
Filed under: uncultured bacterium
Lineage: Bacteria
Description: partial 16S ribosomal RNA
Rfam family: Bacterial small subunit ribosomal RNA
Source: RNAcentral
AUUGAACGCUGGCGGCAGGCCUAACACAUGCAAGUCGAGCGGAUGAAGGGAGCUUGCUCCUGGAUUCAGCGGCGGACGGGCGAGUAAUGCCUAGGAAUCUGCCUGGUAGUGGGGGAUAACGUCCGGAAACGGGCGCUAAUACCGCAUACGUCCUGAGGGAGAAAGUGGGGGAUCUUCGGACCUCCCGCUAUCAGAUGAGCCUAGGUCGGAUUAGCUAGUUGGUGGGGUAAAGGCCUACCAAGGCGACGAUCCGUAACUGGUCUGAGAGGAUGAUCAGUCACACUGGAACUGAGACACGGUCCAGACUCCUACGGGAGGCAGCAGUGGGGAAUAUUGGACAAUGGGCGAAAGCCUGAUCCAGCCAUGCCGCGUGUGUGAAGAAGGUCUUCGGAUUGUAAAGCACUUUAAGUUGGGAGGAAGGGCAGUAAGUUAAUACCUUGCUGUUUUGACGUUACCAACAGAAUAAGCACCGGCUAACUUCGUG